CCUACGGGGAGCUGCAGUGAGGAAUAUUGGUCAAUGGACGAGAGUCUGAACCAGCCAAGUAGCGUGAAGGAUGACUGCCCUAUGGGUUGUAAACUUCUUUUAUAUGGGAAUAAAAUGUUCCACGUGUGGGAUUUUGUAUGUACCAUAUGCAUAAGGAUCGGCGAACUCCGUGCCAGCAGCCGCGGUAAUACGGAGGAUCCGAGCGUUAUCCGGAUUUAUUGGGUUUAAAGGGAGCGUAGGUGGAUUGUUAAGUCAGUUGUGAAAGUUUGCGGCUCAACCGUAAAAUUGCAGUUGAAACUGGCAGUCUUGAGUACAGUAGAGGUGGGCGGAAUUCGUGGUGUAGCGGUGAAAUGCUUAGAUAUCACGAAGAACUCCGAUUGCGAAGGCAGUUCACUGGACUGCAACUGACACUGAGGCUCGAAAGUGUGGGUAUCAAACAGGAUUAGAUACCCUUGUAGUC
RNAcentral lists this ribosomal RNA (460 nucleotides) under uncultured bacterium. RNAcentral describes it as "partial 16S ribosomal RNA". It matches the Rfam family "Bacterial small subunit ribosomal RNA", at positions 338 to 795 of the family's 1533-position model. The record is from RNAcentral.